UACGGAGGGUGCAAGCGUUAUCCGGAAUCACUGGGUUUAAAGGGUGCGUAGGCGGUGUAGUAAGUCAGUCGUGAAAUCGCUGGGCUCAACCCAUGCAAUUGCGAUUGAUACUGCUACACUUGAAUGGGGUUAAGGCAGGCGGAAUGUGGCAUGUAGCGGUGAAAUGCAUAGAUAUGCCAUAGAACACCGAUUGCGAAGGCAGCCUGCUGGGCCUUUAUUGACGCUGAGGCACGAAAGCGUGGGGAGCAAACAGGAUUAGAUACCCUGGUAGUCCACGCCCUAAACGAUGUUUACUUGCUGUUUGCCCUUUGGGGUGAGUGGCGUAGCGAAAGCGAUAAGUAAACCACCUGGGGAGUACGCCGGCAACGGUGAA
This 373-nucleotide ribosomal RNA is filed under the name uncultured bacterium. Its description in RNAcentral is "bacterial SSU rRNA". It matches the Rfam family "Bacterial small subunit ribosomal RNA", at positions 524 to 898 of the family's 1533-position model. The record is from RNAcentral.